RNAcentral lists this ribosomal RNA (253 nucleotides) under uncultured bacterium. Its description in RNAcentral is "partial 16S ribosomal RNA". It matches the Rfam family "Bacterial small subunit ribosomal RNA", at positions 524 to 776 of the family's 1533-position model. The record is from RNAcentral.
UACGUAGGCAGCGAGCGUUGUUCGGAAUUACUGGGCGUAAAGAGUGUGUAGGCGGUGCUCUAAGUUCGGUGUGAAAUCUCCUGGCUCAACUGGGAGGGUGCGCCGGAAACUGGAGUGCUUGAGCGUGGGAGAGGAAAGCGGAAUUCCUGGUGUAGCGGUGAAAUGCGUAGAUAUCAGGAGGAACACCUGUGGUGUAGACGGCUUUCUGGACCAUAGCUGACGCUGAGGAGCGAAAGCAUGGGGAGCGAACAGG